CCUACGGGUGGCAGCAGUGAGGAAUAUUGGUCAAUGGACGCAAGUCUGAACCAGCCAUGCCGCGUGCAGGAAGACGGCCCUAUGAGUUGUAAACUGCUUUUGUACGAGGGUAAAUCCCGAUACGUGUAUCGGGUUGAAAGUAUCGUACGAAUAAGGAUCGGCUAACUCCGUGCCAGCAGCCGCGGUAAUACGGAGGAUUCAAGCGUUAUCGGGAUUUAUUGGGUUUAAAGGGUGCGUAGGCGGUUCGUUAAGUCAGCGGUAAAAGCCCGGGGCUAAACCCCGGCGAGCCGUUGAAACUGGCUGUCUUGAGAGGUCGAGAGGUAUGCGGAAUGCGCAGUGUAGCGGUGAAAUGCUUAGAUAUUGCGCAGAACUCCGAUUGCGAAGGCAGCAUACCGGCGGCGAUCUGACGCUGAGGCACGAAAGCGUGGGGAUCGAACAGGAUUAGAUACCCUAGUAGUC
RNAcentral lists this ribosomal RNA (459 nucleotides) under uncultured bacterium. Its description in RNAcentral is "partial 16S ribosomal RNA". It matches the Rfam family "Bacterial small subunit ribosomal RNA", at positions 338 to 795 of the family's 1533-position model. The record is from RNAcentral.